UCUCGCAACGAGCGCAACCCUUGUCCUGUGUUGCCAGCACGUAAUGGUGGGGACUCGCAGGAGACUGCCGGGGUCAACUCGGAGGAAGGUGGGGACGACGUCAAGUCAUCAUGCCCCUUAUGUCCAGGGCUUCACACAUGCUACAAUGGCCGGUACAGAGGGCUGGGAUACCGCGAGGUGGAGCGAAUCCCUUAAAGCCGGUCUCAGUUCGGAUCGGGGUCUGCAACUCGACCCCGUGAAGUUGGAGUCGCUAGUAAUCGCAGAUCAGCAACGCUGCGGUGAAUACGUUCCCGGGCCUUGUACACACCGCCCGU
Molecule: ribosomal RNA, 314 nt
Filed under: uncultured bacterium
Lineage: Bacteria
Description: bacterial SSU rRNA
Rfam family: Bacterial small subunit ribosomal RNA
Source: RNAcentral